ACAAGGCCACCCAUCGCUAACACUCCACAGGGAGAGCCACUUGCAGUCCCCCUGCCAGCUCCUUGUCCUGGGCCGUGGGCAGGGGAGCUGCUGCCAGGGAGGCAGGACGGCCGGGGGGGCAGCGGGCUUAGCCACAGCAUUGCCUACGUGCUGCUUAUUUCUGGUGCUGCAGGGCUGGGAUUGCAGCACCCCAGGAAGUGGGGAAACACUCGCUUGGGUUUGUUUUUUUUUGCACUUGCUGGUUCAGUCUUGGGACAGCCUGGCUGCUGGUAGGACAGCAGAAAACACAGGGGUGUAGGAUGGGAGGGCAUGAGCUGCAGGGUGCCUGGCCUUUGUGAGCCAAGUCCAUCCUGGUUGGAUGAGGAUUUCAUGUUCCUCUGGAGGAACCAAAGGGUGUAGGAAGCCCUGCCAGCUCUCGGGGCAUAGUCGCUGGGUGGAAAGCAGACCUGAGCCCCAGUGGGGCGAAGAGCAGCCAGGAGCUGUGAGAAGGAGCUGUGCCCUGGGUUCACUCUGUCAGAAAGCGAGAGAGGCCACGACACAUGUGAGCUCCCCAAAGAAUUUUCCAGAAGAACACCUGGGAUCAGCUGGGUGUUUUGUUGUGUUUCAAAGGUGAUGCUUCCUCCCAUCUCCCUGUUCCAGGUGCGUACAUAUACACAUGUGCAGACAGCAACUUCCUCGCACACGGAAGACCUUCAGAAGAUACAGAUUUCCCCGUAGAAUGGGAAUGAACUAAUUCUCUUUCAAAAGUGAAUCCUACUGAGCUGGGAGAAAGGGGCUCAGCCCUUCCCCAAACCAGUGCCUGACUUUGAAGGUGGGAGCAGGCAGAGCUCUGGAGUGCCCUCCUCCUCGGGAGCCAGGGAUCCCAUCAGCAGGAAGAGGAGGAGGAUAGGCACAGAAAAGAUUUGGAGAGCUUCAGGGAAGGUCCCCCUAUGUAUUUACUGGAGUGGCUUGACAAAGAUUUAAGUGUCAAGUGACAUGGCAAUGGCUCCUGUGUUAGCUCUACAGCAGCUGAGACCAAACCUAGCUGAACAGCAGCACUAAACCCAUGCCAUUCACUGCAGCGGUUUUCUGCUAUAAGAGCUAAUUAAUUAGUUUCUGAAGAGUCUUUUGAAGGGGUAAAGCACUAAGGAAGUGCAUAGCAGUGUUAUCCAGAGGGUGUGGGCUUCAAAGCUUAAUGGGCGCUACUUAAAUAUGGACUGAAUUAGUAAACUUGGUUCAUGAUUUCUUUAAAACAUAAAAAAAUAGGGAAAUCAUCUGAAAAAACCACCACCUUUCAGUUGUUUUGGUAGUGCUGAGCCUGAGGAAGUGUUGAGCAAUUGGCUUCCAGUUCCCCUUCCCUGGCUUUCAAGUGUAACCUACCGGCAUAGCCAGGAAAAAUCUUUCUCCUUCAAUGAUUUUCUAAUUUUAGAAUUGAUUUGGUAAAAGUGGGAGAAUAAAAGUGUUGAGAAAUAAUAGAAGAAAAGCAGUCCUUUUGGAAAGAUCGGUGGUGAAAUUCAGGUCGGUAGAGAAAGUUCCUGCCGUACUGCUUUUCUCCCAAAGCCUCCUGAAUUUUUUGACGUGGCAGCUGGCCCUUGCGCGGACACGUGGAGCAAGGCUGGCUCACGGGGAUGAUGGUCAUUCAGGCAUGUUGGGUGACCAGCAGGACAAAACAUUCCUCACCGAGAGCACUCGUGUGGGCUGCCCGCCUGGGGGGCACCUGCACAGGUUCCUGGACUGGGGCUGCCUUCUGCCAUUGCUUACCGUACAGCGGCUAUGGGUAACGGUAUAGGAUGAAAACUAAAGGCACCUGCCAAUGUAUGGAAUAUCCUUUUCCAUUGUUUCACCAGUGUUCACUGCCUGGUGUCUUUCCUAAAUGAUUUGCGAUGCGCAGAUAUAUUUGCUUCCAGUUCUAUCGAAUUAAUGGAUGUAUUUGUCUAGGUUUUUUCCUUUUAUUUUUUUAACUCAGGAAACACAUUCUUACAAGGUGCUGUUUUUCAGGACAGCUUCUGUUUCUAUCUUUCAUGCUUACCACGCUGAUAGAAAUCUUGUUUUGCCUUUAGUAGUAGAUUCCAACUUCAGUGAAUGCUGCUCUUUAUAGGUAAUAUCCAAUUGCUCCGCAGUAAUAAAAAGUUUAUUAAAAGGACAUGGUUCUGCAGAAUGACGUACUGCUCUUCUUGCUGUCCAGGAAAGGAAUUUGCAACAAGUUUGGUUUUUUUUUUCCUAUGAUUCUUCUGGCAAUUGUGUUUCUUUUCUGACAAAUUAUACAUGCUACCCUUAGUUUUUGUGAUUUGCAAUAACAUUUUAAAAAUGUGUUUUAAUUCUGAAUUGGCACCUUGAUUUGAGGAUAAAUCAUAGCACCCCUGUGAGAAAAAAACCCAACCACCCAACUGAUAUGGCUGGCAAUUACAUUUAUUUGUGCUUUCUACUGUAAAUAGGUUUUUUGGGGUAUGAGCCUGUUCAUUCUGUAUUCGUUGGAUGAACUGGAAGGUAACAAUAUGCUCACCUAGAGAUGUUUCUUUGAGCAAAGCUUCGAGAGCCUGCAGUGAGCAUCCUCAGCCAGUAACGGGUGAAAUGCAGCUCCAGGAACCGUAGCAGCACUUGCGAAACCUGGGUGAUUAAAUUCAGCCACUUCAGCUUGGUCCAAAGUCCACGGAAAGGCGCAGGAUUCUCGUUCCUCCAAACUUUUAAGAACAAGAGUUUCGGUAGGACGGGCAUUUAUCUUGCUUGGGGUUGUGUCUGUCUGGGCUUUGGGUGGUGACAUCCAGAGGCGAUGGCAGGCUGCAGAACCAGGGGGGAUGCUGUGUGGGACGUGAUGGGGGCACUCGGGACCCUUCCCCUGGCAGCAGGGUGGUGGGGGAGAGGAGGAAACACCCUCCAAGGGAAAGAGCAUGUGUGUCCUGCUGCAUUAUAGACCUGGAACACAUAAAAGAUAAAUGAGGCAAUGAGUUACUUCACCUGCACCAAGUGCUGAGGAAGAGGAGGUUGUAGCAAAGGGAUUAAGAAAUAAGCCUGGACCCCUGGGGAGGGGUGGGACAGAGACCCUCGGGGCUGCUGGGGACCUGCUUUGAAUUGGCAUUUGAGAAGCAGCUGUGUUGCAGCUCUCUUAGGGAGACCAGCUGGGUGUGAAUGACACCCUAUGAGCACGAUGCUCUGGCAUCACAAGAGGGACGCGUCUGGCCAGCCCGGUGCUUGGCCGAGCCACAGGAGCUGUGGCAACCUCCCUGCCUCCACCAGCCCUUGGCCACUGGGGAGCAGAGGGAGCUGGCCCGGGGCAGCCAGCUGCUGCCAGUCAGGACCUGGCAUCCUGCAUGGGGUAUGGCCAAGGGAAGAAAAGAGGUGGGCAAAACAGAGCGGCUCAAAGGAGGAUUAAUUUAACAGGAUGGCAUAUUAUUUUUCUCUACUUUUGCCAUUUGCUGGUGUAGGAUGGUGACUGGAGGAGCAGAAGCUGAGCAGCAGGGCUCCCUGGGCCUCAAACCAGCAGCAAACCCCCCUAGGAUCCCAUUCUGUGUCUGUCCCUCCUGAGCAAAGCACCCCAGUACUUGCCUUUCCACCUUCUUUUUCCUGGUGAAGUAACUCGGAUUUUUUUUUUAAUGUGUAUUCACUUCCUAAUUUGCAAGGAUUAAUUAAUUCACAAUGGAUGUCUCAGUCGUGGCUGUGAAUUAGCAAAUUGCUAGUGCACUAAGAGCUCUCUCACGUGUUGAAUUUAAUUCCUGCUUCUCAGAGCUUAGCAAACCCACGCUCUCUCUGCUGGGGGAUUUCCCUGUGGCAUACUGCGCGGGGAUGGGAGCCGCACCGAGCCCAUUAUUUGCCCCAUCUUUUUUCCAGUGGUCAUUGGUAAAGCGAUAGCUAUUUUCCAGGAGCUGGUGUUGAAUCCCUGUACCAGUGCUUGCCUUUAAUUCCUUCUUCUUUCUAGUCAGUACCCUGAAUAUUAUCUGUUUAGACUUGAACGUUUUUAGCAUAAUUACAGGUUAACAAUUUCUCAGACAUACACACCCUUUCCACGGUGGCUUUGAAAGCAGCGAUUUCCAGCUCACAAGUGGGAUAUACGAAUGGCCAGCAUUUCGCUGACUGCGCGCCACGGGCCCAAGCUUGGCAAAGCCAUUCCCCAAGGUCCCGUCACCUCGUACAGGCAGCGUGGACCCAGAGGUCCAGAGCUGCAUCAUCUCCUGUAUCUUUAUAUAAGAGCAAGUAUAUGUUUGGGGGAUAUAAGCAAGUAUAUACAAAUAUAUACACAUAUACACACACGCUCGCUCUUGUAUCUUUUAUUUUUAUAUAUAUUUGAUACAUAUAUAUAUCUCUGUCCUGUCCCGUGAGGUGCUGAGCACAGCAGGGCUGGCAGGGGCAGCCCCCAGAGGCACUGGUGCACUGCCAGGCUGGACCUGGAUCCCGCCGUGCUGGUCCUGGGUCCCGCGAUGCCGGUCCAGGGAAUGAUGUACUGAAUGCAGAAUGACGUACCGCUCUUCUUGCUGUCCAGGAAAGGAAUUUGCAACAAGUUUGGGGUUUUUUUCCCUAUGAUUCUUCUGGCAAUUGUGUUUCUUUUCUGACAAAUUAUACAUGCUACCCUUAGUUUUUGUGAUUUGCAAUAACAUUUUUAAAAUGUGUUUUAAUUCUGAGUCGGCACCUUGAUUUGAGGAUAAAUCACAGCAUCCCUGUGAGAAAAAAACCCAACAACCACCCAACUGAUAUGGCUGGCAAUUACAUUUAUUUGUGCUUUCUACUGUAAAUAGGUUUUUUUGGGGUGUGAGCCUGUUCAUUCUGUACUCAUUCAGUACCCACUGACCCAGUGCUACUGCAGCUGCCCGGCUGCACCUCCCGGUGCAAAUUCCUCUGUGCUUCCAUGCUGUCAGCUGCAGGGAUGGCUGCAAGCGUGGUCAGAAACACUUCUGUGUCCGAGCUGGAACACACAGCUGACUAAGCAGGAUGAUUCAAGAAGACUGCUGGCCGAGCAUUUCACACGUUCUGUGAGAUCUUUCCACAUCAGAGAGGGCACCAGGAAUCUCUUCUGCUGUCAGGAGCUGUUUCCCACAGCGUGUUGCAGGCAAGUCAAGGGAACUGGAGGAGGGCAAGGGGAUCCUGAGCAGGGAAGGCGACGGGAUGCUGCAGGCGGAUGACAUACAAAGGGUCCAGGAAUGAAAAUCCAUUUCACAGGGGUGAGAAGCCGGACUGUGAAAUACUGCGGGUUGCUGCCAGGCUCCUAAAAGACACAGCUAGCGCUGAGUACACAGGAUCUAUAUCAGAACAUGGAACGCAGGGCAGUGCAACGGCUGAGCACGCUGCUUGGGCCUGGCAGCCAAGCCCCACCAGGCUGCUGUGCUCUCCCCGCACAGCUGGGGAUGGUAUUUGGUGCCUGGGUGUGAGAACUAUUUUUGCUAACGUUGGAGGGGGUUUUUUGUUUUGUUUUUUUUAUGUAGUAAACUUCCAGCCUGGGGGAAGGGAGCACCUGCCAGGCACUGGGGGGGCAGAGGAGACCCUGCAGUCCCCAGGGGAGCGCGUAGGUCCAGCACCUUGUGCAAACCCCAUUGCGCUGGUGCAGGUGUUGCUGCACAAAUUGCUUUUUGCCUUUCAGCUGCCCAGUCGCCUCGCCGCAGCUGGAGUAAAUUGUCACUCUGUAUGACAGGAGCUCGCUCAGCUGUGAGCACGGCCUGAGCAAGGGGGGCUCAGCCCCUUGGUGCCUGACAGCUCGAGCCACCCAGCAGGAGCUGCGGUGCCCAGUGCAGCAUCCCGGUGGGAUCAUCCUGGUGGGAUCAUCCUGGUGGAAUCCCAGGGCCUACCGCAGCCAGCUCUGCCCGCUGAUGCCACUCGCUUGUCAUCCAGCAGGCAAGGCCACGGUGACCCGUGAAGUUCAGAGGAGCAACACGCUGCUGCGGGGAAAAAUUACGGCACGGAGAAGCCCGACCCAAACCCUCCCCAGUGAUGCAAUGGGGGAGUGCAGGAAGGCAAUGGGGAGAGGCGUAAUUAAAAAGAAGCUGAAGGCAGAUGCUGUCGCUAGAGCCGUGGAGCGCAGCAGGGCAGGAAGAGCUGCAGGACAUUUUGAGAAACCAGGCCGGCAAGCGUCUGGGCACUUCGGGAAACCAGCAGGCAGGCUGCACAGCAGCAGUGCAUCGGUCCUGCUGGGUGAGGCUUCACCUCAUGGCGUGUAAGAAAUUCAUGACUCGUUCCCUAAAAAUGUAUUUUUCUGCUUCAAAAUCUCCUGGUGUGUUAGACUGCGCUAAUGAUCUGUGCCGGGACAGAGGUGGGCUUCCGUCCAUCCAGGCUAAUCCGUGUUCACACAGCCAGGGCAAUGGGUGCCUGUUGCCCACCAGGGGCACAGAAAUAGCUCGCAGCCCCCGCAGCCCCUCUGCGCCGCGCUGGGAACCUGCGGGAACCAUCCGGGCUGGGACUCCCCGGCCAUCGGGUGGAUGCAGCGGGCUGCCCCCAGC
This is a long non-coding RNA of Falco peregrinus (peregrine falcon), 6398 nucleotides long. RefSeq lists it as uncharacterized. The record is from RefSeq and is a predicted model, not a curated record. NCBI's taxonomy places the organism in Eukaryota, Metazoa, Chordata, Aves, Falconiformes, Falconidae. The transcript has 3 exons.